UUUAGCCAUGCUANUNGCACGAGUUUAGACUCGUGGCAUAUAGCUCAGUAACACGUGNCCAAACUACCCUACAGACCGCAAUAACCUCGGGAAACUGAGGCCAAUAGCGGAUAUAACUCUCAGACUGGAGUGUCGAGAGUUAGAAACGUUCCGGCGCUGUAGGAUGUGGCUGCGGCCGAUUAGGUAGAUGGUGGGGUAACGGCCCACCAUGCCGAUAAUCGGUACAGGUUGUGAGAGCAAGAGCCUGGAGACGGUAUCUGAGACAAGAUACCGGGCCCUACGGGGCGCAGCAGGCGCGAAACCUUUACACUGCACGACAGUGCGAUAGGGGGACUCCGAGUGUGAGGGCAUAUAGCCCUCGCUUUUCUGCACCGUAAGGUGGUGCAAGAAUAAGGACUGGGCAAGACCGGUGCCAGCCGCCGCGGUAAUACCGGCAGUCCAAGUGAUGGCCGAUAUUAUUGGGCCUAAAGCGUCCGUAGCUUGCUGUGUAAGUCCAUUGGGAAAUCGACCAGCUCAACUGGUCGACGUCCGGUGGAAACUACACAGCUUGGGGCCGAGAGACUCAACGGGUACGUCCGGGGUAGGAGUGAAAUCCUAUAAUCCUGGACGGACCACCAAUGGGGAAACCACGUUGAGAGACCGGACCCGACAGUGAGGGACGAAAGCCAGGGUCUCGAACCGGAUUAGAUACCCGGGUAGUCCUGGCCGUAAACAAUGCUCGCUAGGUAUGUCACGCGCCAUGAGCACGUGAUGUGCCGUAGUGAAGACGAUAAGCGAGCCGCCUGGGAAGUACGUCCGCAAGGAUGAGACUUAAAGGAAUUGGCGG
This 826-nucleotide ribosomal RNA is filed under the name uncultured archaeon. RNAcentral describes it as "bacterial SSU rRNA". It matches the Rfam family "Archaeal small subunit ribosomal RNA", at positions 44 to 871 of the family's 1478-position model. The record is from RNAcentral.